Paramuricea clavata is the source of this 137-nucleotide non-coding RNA. The record is from the annotation of a GenBank genome assembly. NCBI's taxonomy places the organism in Eukaryota, Metazoa, Cnidaria, Anthozoa, Malacalcyonacea, Plexauridae.
AAGCGAUUUAUUUGUGUAGCUCAUUAUACAGGCAGAUUCCGAUGUUUACGUCACUGUAUUUCAAGGUAUAUUAUGAAAAUACAAUGACGUAAACAUCGGAAUCUGCAUGUAUAAUGAGCUACACAAAUAGAUCGCUU